UGGGGAAUAUUGGACAAUGGGCGAAAGCCUGAUCCAGCCAUGCCGCGUGUGUGAAGAAGGUCUUCGGAUUGUAAAGCACUUUAAGUUGGGAGGAAGGGCAUUAACCUAAUACGUUAGUGUUUUGACGUUACCGACAGAAUAAGCACCGGCUAACUCUGUGCCAGCAGCCGCGGUAAUACAGAGGGUGCAAGCGUUAAUCGGAAUUACUGGGCGUAAAGCGCGCGUAGGUGGUUUGUUAAGUUGGAUGUGAAAUCCCCGGGCUCAACCUGGGAACUGCAUUCAAAACUGACUGACUAGAGUAUGGUAGAGGGUGGUGGAAUUUUCUGUGUAGCGGUGAAAUGCGUAGAUAUAGGAAGGAACACCAGUGGCGAAGGCGACCACCUGGACUAAUACUGACACUGAGGUGCGAAAGCGUGGGGAGCAAACA
This 427-nucleotide ribosomal RNA is filed under the name uncultured bacterium. Its description in RNAcentral is "partial 16S ribosomal RNA". It matches the Rfam family "Bacterial small subunit ribosomal RNA", at positions 355 to 774 of the family's 1533-position model. The record is from RNAcentral.